CUCCCUACUAACGUUGGGUUCACCAACCGUAUUUUUUUAUUUCUCUCUAUUAUAAAGUUGUCCUCUCUUGUCUGAUAUUUCCCGGUAGUUAAACUUGCGUUUUGUAAAAUUAAUUUUAAUAUCAAAACAAUUGUAUAAAUUUUCAUUUUUGAAAAGAAUGAAAAUUAAUAUUAAAAAAAGAAAAUCAGAAAAUUAGAGAAUAAUUCCACUGCUUUUAUAUGGGUUUCUAGUUGAAACCUAGAAUUUCUUAUUUACAUACACGUGAAGUUAUC
Molecule: long non-coding RNA, 272 nt
Filed under: Mytilus galloprovincialis (Mediterranean mussel)
Lineage: Eukaryota; Metazoa; Mollusca; Bivalvia; Mytilida; Mytilidae
Source: RNAcentral